GAAGCUUCAUAGAUGAAAAUCAGCAUAAACAAAUAGGGAGACGAGUCUCAAAACAAAACUAGACAGUUGGACAGAAUUUCAUAAAAAAAGAAAACGUGCAAAACUAAGUGGAAGCUGCUACGGGUCCCGUGACGCCAUCAAGGAUUCUUCCUGUCAUUCGCCGGCACAUUCCUUCCUUUACCCAACCAAACAGAACCGGCGACUGGUGGCGGACGGCGGCAAGGGCGCGAGCUGCUCACGGACUCCCAUGGUGCGUCGAUCGGGCGAUCUAAACAGCGACAGGGACGGCGGAUGAACCGAACGGCGACGUCGUCUGAGGCGUGGCGGAAACGAAUUGACAACACGAAGCGUCGCGACCGGUCGCUGACGUUGCUUCGAUGGACGCUGGUACUGAGAAGUUGAUGGAAACUCGGGCGACGUGAUAGCGAAGGCACAAGUAGGGCGGCGGCUUCAC
RNAcentral lists this unclassified non-coding RNA (454 nucleotides) under Hevea brasiliensis (rubber tree). Lineage: Eukaryota; Viridiplantae; Streptophyta; Magnoliopsida; Malpighiales; Euphorbiaceae. The record is from RNAcentral.